CUCCUUUCAGGGUUGCCCCUGGAGAGUUUCCAGUACUCUACCAGCCUCGACUAUAGGAGGGAUAGUCAAGCAGAGGCCUAUCCAUUCCAUUCCUAGCCUGGGCAGAGGCUAGUGAGUGGAAGGCAAUCUGCUACAAGU
Small nucleolar RNA from Tachyglossus aculeatus (Australian echidna), 138 nucleotides. The record is from RefSeq and is a predicted model, not a curated record. Lineage: Eukaryota; Metazoa; Chordata; Mammalia; Monotremata; Tachyglossidae.